CAGCCGCCGCGGAAAUACAGAGGGUGCGAGCGUUAAUCGGAUUUACUGGGCGUAAAGCGUGCGUAGGCGGCUUCUUAAGUCGGAUGUGAAAUCCCUGAGCUUAACUUAGGAAUUGCAUUCGAUACUGGGAAGCUAGAGUAUGGGAGAGGAUGGUAGAAUUCCAGGUGUAGCGGUGAAAUGCGUAGAGAUCUGGAGGAAUACCGAUGGCGAAGGCAGCCAUCUGGCCUAAUACUGACGCUGAGGUACGAAAGCAUGGGGAGCAAACAGGAUUAGAUACCCCAGUAGUCCCUGUCUCUUUAUA
RNAcentral lists this ribosomal RNA (301 nucleotides) under uncultured bacterium. Its description in RNAcentral is "partial 16S ribosomal RNA". It matches the Rfam family "Bacterial small subunit ribosomal RNA", at positions 509 to 809 of the family's 1533-position model. The record is from RNAcentral.